UACGGAGGAUCCAAGCGUUGUCCGGAUUUACUGGGUUUAAAGGGUGCGCAGGCGUCUCAACAAGUUUUCGGUGAAAUCUUCCAGCUUAACUGGGAAACUGCCGGGAAAACUGUAGGGAUUGAGUUUGGUUGAAGUGGGCGGAAUGUAUCGUGUAGCGGUGAAAUGCUUAGAUAUGAUACAGAACACCAAUUGCGAAGGCAGCUCACUAAGCCAAUACUGACGCUGAGGCACGAAAGCGUGGGUAGCAAACAGG
Molecule: ribosomal RNA, 253 nt
Filed under: uncultured bacterium
Lineage: Bacteria
Description: partial 16S ribosomal RNA
Rfam family: Bacterial small subunit ribosomal RNA
Source: RNAcentral